GACGAACGCUGGCGGCGUGCUUAACACAUGCAAGUCGAGCGGUAAGGCCCUUUCGGGGUACGACGAGCGGCGAAUGGUGAGUAACACGUGGGUGACCUGCCUUUAGUCUCUGGGAGUAAGCCUGGGAAACCGGGGUACCUAAUACCGGAUAUGACUCCGCGGCGCAUGUUGUGGGGUGGAAAGCCUUGUGCGGCUGGAGAUGGGCCCGCGGCCUAUCAGCUUGUUGGUGGGGUGAUGGCCUACCAAGGCGACGACGGGUAGCCGGCCUGAGAGGGCG
This 277-nucleotide ribosomal RNA is filed under the name uncultured bacterium. RNAcentral describes it as "partial 16S ribosomal RNA". It matches the Rfam family "Bacterial small subunit ribosomal RNA", at positions 28 to 302 of the family's 1533-position model. The record is from RNAcentral.